Long non-coding RNA from Frieseomelitta varia, 288 nucleotides. RefSeq lists it as uncharacterized. NCBI's taxonomy places the organism in Eukaryota, Metazoa, Arthropoda, Insecta, Hymenoptera, Apidae. The record is from RefSeq and is a predicted model, not a curated record. The transcript has 3 exons.
UCUCUUCCUAAACGGGGUGUGAACUGCGUUACCUGACGUUUAUCUGAUCCUGAAAAUUUCAAAGUUAUUGUAAUAACGAAAUCAUAUAAUUAAAAGAAGCAGAACGUUGACUGUUUAAUACAAGCUUUGGAUAUUUUGCGUUUCAAAAAUCCGCAAUCUAAGGAGAACAGUUUCCUAUCUGCCCUGCGUCGCCGUCCCAAUCGCGGACCGAACCACAUACCGCUGGUGAUAUCCUGUGAAGUACGUUUGAUGCAUUUGCCGUCGGUGCACGAGCCGAAUUCGUUGCUA